Non-coding RNA from Macaca mulatta (Rhesus monkey), 1799 nucleotides. The record is from RefSeq and is a predicted model, not a curated record. NCBI's taxonomy places the organism in Eukaryota, Metazoa, Chordata, Mammalia, Primates, Cercopithecidae.
AUUGGAGUUGAUGUAGUUCUCAUUUCAAUAAGGUGAGUAUUUGAGCACAUUGGAACAUCAGUACAGGUGGGAGAGAGAUAUGUUCCCAUGGCAAAAAGAGUCCUUAUAAGUAGGUUCAGAAAUACACACCUAUAAGGGCUUUCCUUGCGACCACAUUUGAAUUAAUCUUUAGGAACUUCUGAAUUUGUUGGGUGGAUUGGAUUGUAGCUGUGGUCCUCCUAAUUCUUUAGGUAUUUAGAGGUUGAACCAAGGAAAGAACUAUUGCAUCUUAUUUCUACUUUGCUUUUGCUGUAACUCCAUGUCCCUGGUCAAGACAUUUAAUUAUCUACUCCUAUGUAUAUCUUUGACUGGAGCAUGUGGUUCUCCGUGACUUAUUAGCUUUGUUGUAUCACAAAGACUUGUAGUUUGAUUCAUAAGUGUAAUGGUUAUUUAGGUUAUACCAGUUUCUUCUAAUCUGCCAAUUACUUUUCAUUUGUUCUUUGAAAAAUUCAAAAUUAGUGAGGGACAUUCUCUGGGUAAUGCUUACAUUUUCCAGUCAGACGUGAAAUGUCAGCUGAGAUUUAGAGAUUACUUAUAAAAAGGUAGUAAAGUACCUUUGAGUGGACCAGCAGAAUUCUAGUGCAAGGCAAACACAGGUUCGAGGUGGAGGAGUCAGUGGUCUUAGUUGGGGUGGUUUCAUCCUAUUCUCCUUAGCCAGAUAUGUUGCUCUCUGCUUCCUGGCAUUGACUCUGUGCACCUGUCAAAAUGACUGCUUCACAUUCCCCUGCCGAUGUGUGCCUAUUUCUACCUCUAGUUUUGCUCAUACUGCAUUGUUUUACUUCAUGGGAUGACUCUUUAUGUUUAUCUCCUUAUUCUACCCAUUUUAAAAUUCUUUCCUUAGAAACUUUUCACUGACUAAUUCUGCCUCUAGUGAUCCCUCACAUAUUAUAUGUAUAAUCCUUCAUCUUGUCUUCCUCUUUGAAUUAUAAGCAACUCAAGGGUGGGAUAGUGGCAGAGACUGACUAACUGUUCAAAUCCAUUCCUCUUUUUGGGCAUAUAGUUAGACCAUGUCCUCAGAUUGCUUUGCCUUGCAGUUAGAUGUGACCAUGAGGCUGAGUUCUAACUGAAGCAAUAUAAGCAGAGGUGAUGAACACUACUUUCAGGUCUGACAUAAAAUAUCCUACACAUGGUCCUCUAUGUUCUUUUCCUAUAUACUGGCUGAAUGUAGAGGAUUGAGGGAUUUAGGGGAGGGCAAAUCUGCGAUGGAAGGGGCUUAGGUCUCUGAAGUAUUAUAGGAAAAUAUUCCACCAACAAGGAAUAACUACAUUAUGCUGUUAGAGGAUAAGCAACCAACUUACCAACUUACCACGUAUUAAGCCUCCAGGGUCUUAGGGCUUCUCAGGGUAGUAGCUAGUGUUACUUUAACAAAUAUAGAGGUGAAUUAUAUUAUAUUUGUUUCCUUCACAGUACCUAGAAUAAUGUAGACAGAGGUUCCAUCAGUGCUGGCUGCCUCCUCCAAAAUGUCAAUGUACUGACUGUCACCUUCCAGAGCAAAGAGAAGUAGGAUGAUGUUCUGCUCAGGUCUGGAGAGUGGGAAGCAGGACAAAGAAGAGAUGUUAGCAGUGGAUGGCCCAGUGUGAAGGGAGAGAAGGUGCUUCUAUCAUCUGGUGAUAGGAUGGGGGCUUCAGAAAGAAGCAGGAAGAGCUCUGCGGAUAUUAGAUGGCUCAGUGCUGAGUUCAGGAAGUCACUGUUGUGUUCUUAAAGAGGCUAUGCCAGAGGACUUUGGAGACCCAGAUGCUUCAUUCAAUGAACUACAAAUG